RNAcentral lists this long non-coding RNA (1014 nucleotides) under Callithrix jacchus (white-tufted-ear marmoset). RNAcentral's name for it is "lncRNA (ENSCJAG00000075765.1)". The record is from RNAcentral. Lineage: Eukaryota; Metazoa; Chordata; Mammalia; Primates; Cebidae.
CUGGACUGGAACAGUAAUUUGUGAAGGGUUUUAAAUGAAAGAGCAAGUGUUCAGACUCCUAGAGAACUCUGAAGACUAAACUGAAUUGAAAUUUGCAGCAAUAUAUGCUAGGGAACUCAUAAUACAUUGCUGAUUACAGGAGUGCAGAGAUGAAAAGUUUAAUAUCAACUCUGGCUCUCCUUCACUGCUAGGGCUAAAUGUGAAUAUUAUCCAAGGAUGUUUCUAAAUGAAUCUCCAGUAGUUCUCUCUUUCCAAGUCAGAUCUCAGAAUCUCUUCACUUGAGUCAAGCUACUCCCAGCUUUGGCACACAUCUGGUCCAACACUACUUUGGGAUAUGUUUUGUUAAGGUUGCUGCUCUGCCUGGAAGGCUCUCAUUCCUCUGCUGCUUGACCCGAGCUUUCCUUCCUCUAAGAACUGCUAGAGGCUCCUAGAUGCCUUUCCAAACCAACUUCUCUUCUAUGAGAUCAGCUCUCAGCUUUGUAUUCCUUGGCGUCUAUGGAGUCUAUUUAUCAGAUACAUGGAGAAGACUGCUGACAGCUGUGGUACAUGCCUCUGGCAACUGUGGACUACAGAAACAUAAAGGACCAAGAAAGUCCCUGUGGGGGGAACCUAACAUCUCAUCUGGGAGAGAGCAAACAGAAUAAUAUUGGAGGAAUAUGAAGAAGAAAUGAGUGGCUAUUAAAAAUCUACAAUUUUCACAAAGCUCCAGCAGUAUCUUCCAUUUCUGCACUGAUUUUCUUUCACAGUGUACAAAGUGAAAACAAACGAAUUAUACCUAUGUGAUGAGAUGACUUGAAGCCUAAGGAAAAUACCCAAAGAUGUCUCUGUAAAUAUGGUAACAUUUUAAAUAUUUGAAUGGAAAGAAUAAAUCUCUCACUGUCAUUUAGAUUAUGUUAAAACUAAUCCAGCAACUCUAAAGCUCAAGCCACUGCUGACGCAUUGACGUUGCAUGAUGAAUCAAGACCCUAGAAAAAAUGGGGUAAACUGUAUAUUAACAUGAAAUCCACUAUAUGU